GUGCUUGCACCUUUCAAGCGAGUGGCGAACGGGUGAGUAACACGUGGAUAACCUGCCUCAAGGCUGGGGAUAACAUUUGGAAACAGAUGCUAAUACCGAAUAAAACUUAGUAUCGCAUGAUAUCAAGUUAAAAGGCGCUACGGCGUCACCUAGAGAUGGAUCCGCGGUGCAUUAGUUAGUUGGUGGGGUAAAGGCUUACCAAGACGAUGAUGCAUAGCCGAGUUGAGAGACUGAUCGGCCACAUUGGGACUGAGACACGGCCCAAACUCCUACGGGAGGCUGCAGUAGGGAAUCUUCCACAAUGGGCGCAAGCCUGAUGGAGCAACGCCGCGUGUGUGAUGAAGGCUUUCGGGUCGUAAAGCACUGUUGUAUGGGAAGAAAUGCUAAAAUAGGGAAUGAUUUUAGUUUGACGGUACCAUACCAGAAAGGGACGGCUAAAUACGUGCCAGCAGCCGCGGUAAUACGUAUGUCCCGAGCGUUAUCCGGAUUUAUUGGGCGUAAAGCGAGCGCAGACGGUUGAUUAAGUCUGAUGUGAAAGCCCGGAGCUCAACUCCGGAAUGGCAUUGGAAACUGGUUAACUUGAGUGUUGUAGAGGUAAGUGGAA
RNAcentral lists this ribosomal RNA (604 nucleotides) under Leuconostoc sp. RNAcentral describes it as "bacterial SSU rRNA". It matches the Rfam family "Bacterial small subunit ribosomal RNA", at positions 76 to 666 of the family's 1533-position model. Lineage: Bacteria; Bacillati; Bacillota; Bacilli; Lactobacillales; Lactobacillaceae. The record is from RNAcentral.